GAGCAGCACCUGCAGCGCAACGUCCUGGAGCGGUUGCUACACCGCGGCCGUUAGCGCUGUUGGGCCAACCGGAGAUGCUGUCGUCAAGCACAUCUGCUUUGGGGCUGGAACUACCACUGUAUUUGGCCUCUUAAAAAAAUAAUUUGUGACAAAUCUGCAAAAAGAAAUACACUUACCCUAGAAGGAUAUCUGGUGUAUGGCCAGAUAAUGACAGAUUAAGAGAACUGAAGAUAGCUAUAAUCAACUUACAUAUCACCAAGUCAACUCUUCUGUUGAAGAUUUGCAGUGAGAAAAGAAAGUGCUAAUAAGCAUAUUAUCUCAACCUAAAAGAAAAGUCCUAAGACGGCUUCAGCUGUUCCGCUAGUGACACCAAAAUGGCCACAGGAAGGGAGAAGAAAGAAAAGUUUGAAUGAAGUAUGAUUCCAUUAUGAUGCUAUUGAGCACAUCUGUAAUGUGAGCAUUCACAAUCCCUCCGUGAUAAGAUGGCCCUUUUUUCCCCUGAACUGUCGAAGACUGAGAUCUGUUGCCUGGUUUAAAACAACCUAUAAUAUGAGCUUAGAAAGCAGACAUGAGGCCUGGAGAUGCAAUAGCCAGUUGGUGACGUGAGGGGACAAGCAUGAGAACAAAAGUUCAUAAGCUAAGGAAGGUUGAGAAGGAAGAUUGAGAGUCUUGCUCCUUGUCAGCAUUUCUCAGCAGCUGUACUAAUGCUGGACACUCAGCUCUGGAUUUCUUAUUUUGUAAGAAAAAGAAAACUCUUUUUUAUUAACACUAUUACUCACUGUUGCAGACAGGUAUCUUGUUAUCUUGUUACUUGCAACCAAAAGCACUUUUGUUUGUUUGUUUGUUUGUUUUGUUUUGGUUUUUUUUUUUGAUUUUUAGGGCCACACCUGCAGCAUAUGGAAGUUCCCAGGCUAGGGGUCAAAUCAGAGCUGCAGUUGUCUGCCUAUGCCACAGCCACAGCAACGCUGGAUCCAGGCUAAGACUUCGACCUACACCACAGCUCAUGGCAAGGCUGAAUCCCCAACCCAUUGAGCGAGGCCAGGGAUCAAACCCUCAUCCUAAUGGAUCUUAGGUUCAUUAACUGCUGAGCCAUGAAGGGAACUCCUCAAAGCACUUUUAACAAGCCAAUUAUAAGACUUUUAUAUUUUAAAAUUAUCUAAAUAUAUCAGUGUUAUAGUGGAUUUAUUUUACUGUCCAGGGGCAGCUGCUUAUACACAGAAAGCACCAUUUAUAGUUAAUCUGAGUUUAUGGAGUUUUCUUGUGACUCAUCCUGUUAAGGAUCCAAUGAGCUUCUGCAUAUAUAUGUAUGUGUAUAUAUAUAUAGUUAAUCUAGAUUUAAAUUGUUAUAACUUUAUUGAAGAUGUAAAUUUUCCACAAGCCUUGAAGUUUAAUUUUAAAAAUUUUAUCUUCUGGGAACCCUCCUGCACUGUUGGUGGGAGUGUAAAUGGGUACAACAACAAUGGAAAACAGUAUGGAGAUUCCUCAGAAAACCAAAUAUAGAACUACUAUAUUAUCCCAUAAUCCCAUUCCUGGGCAUAUAUCCAGACGAAACUUUCUUUCGAAAAGAUACAUGCACCCCUUGUAUGUACCUUGCAGCACCAUUCACAGUAGCCCAGACAUUAGGUUGCAUCCAUGUCUUGGCUAUUGCAUAUAAUGCUGCUAUGAACAUUGUGGUGCAUGUAUCUUCUCAAAUUAUUGUUUUCUUGGGACAUAUGCCCAGGAGUAGGACUGCUAUUUUUGUUUUUUUAAGGAACCUCCAUACUGUUCUCUGUAGUGGCUGCAAUAAUUUAUAUCCCCACCAACAAUGUAGGGGGGCUCCCUUUUCUCCACAUCCUCUCCAGAAUUUAUUUGUAGUCUUUUUGAUGAUGGCCAUUCUGACUAGUAUGAGGUGAUACCCUAGCAUUGUGAUGCUUUAAACCAGAUUGGACAUUUAGCUAGUCAUCACUACCAACAACUAACCAGUAAGUGGGAAAUGAAGAGAAAACCAGAUUGGCUAUGGACAAAAUAAUAGGAAAGUCACUUUCUCUGCACAACAAAGGUAAAGCAGGCAAUUCUGAAUCAGAAGCACACAAAAAAAGCAGAGUAGAAAAUACAAAUAUUAACUGGUUAUAUGUAGCCUGCCAGUGGAAGGCACUGAACCCAUGGGACUUUAGAAAUCUGGUUAUCAGAGAUAACUUCCACGUAUGAAGCAAGUACAUUUUGGAGGGCCUGGCCCCAACCCAAACUCUCCAGCUCUCUGCUCCAAUCCUUGCUUAUCAAAUGGCCUUUGAUUAUUAAUUCAUCAUCACUAGUUCUUCAAUAUUAGAGACUGGCAGUGGAAAAGAAAGGAAAUAGAAUGGGCUUUUAUACAUCAUUCUUUUAAGAGUGUAUCUAGAAUUAGAUCCUGGGGCUCUAACAAGACUGAGUUUCUUGCCUGAAAGCUGUGGACCGGACCCUGGUCUCAUGGGUGAAUCCAAUCCUGGUGCUCACUUAGCCAGGUUUCUCCAAGUGACACCAUUAUUUCCCUGUCCUGCCCCUUCUAUCAAUGUCAUGUCACACCACAGACUCCACUUGAGUUGAAUAAGAACCUACAUGGAAGCAGAACACAGUCUGGCCAGAUGCAUGCAUUUCCUGUGCCUGCCCCAGGGGACACAUUCCAGGUGUUGUGGCCAAGCUAUCCACUCAUGACUGAUCCCUGAACCAAAUCCUAUCACCUGGUCCACGUCCUUCUGACCAACUCUUAAAAGUUCUGGCUGGUGGUUUUUAUAUCCCUUCUCCUACUUAUUUCUCUGGUGCUCCCAUUGGAUUUGACCUUAGCUGACUCAAAAAGCCUUGGUCAAAUCACCUUUCCUAUUUUGGCCUGUCUCUUUCCACCCCUACCCUGAACUGAAGGGCUGCUUUCUUUCCCACCAGGCCUGCCUUGACCUUGCUGAGAAGACUUAGACCCACAGAACUAUCCAGGGCCCACUCACUCCUCCUGUCAGAAUAAGAAAAUAUUGGAAUCAACCGCGCUAGGUUCAGCAUGAGGUAUGACAAUCCCAGCGAUUUCCAGAACCAUUGUCUGGGCUCUUCUACCUCUGGAGUUGAGUUCAGCACAAAGGCAGGGAAACACUCAGCUGGACUGGUGAUUUCCCAGGGAUGCUCUGAGAAAGUAGCUGCUUUAGUAAGUAGCAUCUGUAGACUGAAGCUUUUCCUACUUGGCAGCCCAUAUCUGCCCUGUCAGCUGUCACCAUUUCCAUAGCACUGAUUAUGGAAUGACUGAUGAUACUGUGGCUGCAGCCACUCCCAACUCACAAUUAAGUCAUAGCAGCUCAGCAUUUUCACUUUUAAAUUACUUACCAUUCUGAGGUAGGUAUUGGAGCCAGGUAGGCCUGAGUUUGAAUACCAGCCAUACCUACUCAACCCCAUCUUCUCUGAGUCUCAAUUUUCUCAGCCAUGAAAUAACUGUUAUACCUCCAUAACUGUUAUACCUCCCUCACAGAUAAGCCACAUAAAAACAUCUAGCCUACUGACAAUGUUAAUUCUGAUUCCAUCCUGAGGCAGAAUCUCCAAGAUCCUAAAGAUCUGUUUCACCUAUGAGUCCUUUGUACUCAGUUGUAAUUCUCCCUUGCCCUUAAGUCAGGAGAAGGUGGUAACCUCAGUCAGACUUGGGACUCUGACUGGACAAGCUUCUGGAAAGGAAUAGUGUUAGGGUGGGCGUAACACUAAAGGAAAUGCUUACUCCCUGGCUUUUAAACCUCAGUGGGCAUGACAAUCAUUUAGGGAGUUUACAGAAAAUACAGAUAAAGACGUGGGGUUAAGGAUCUGGCAUUGUCACUGCAGUGGCUCAGGUUACUGCUGUGGUGCAAGUUCAGUCCCUGGCCUGGGAACUUCCACAUGCUGCAGGCAUAGCCAAAAACAAAAAACAAACAAACAAAAAAAAAAUACAGAUACCCAAGCCCUUCCCUCAGUGACUGAGAGUCACUAAGUCACUGAGAGUCAGAUUCAGCAACCUAUAUUUUAAAUGUUUCCCAGAAUAUUCUAAUAUGCAUCUACGUUUGAGAAUUACUGCCCUAUCUGGAAGUUUCUCUCUUCUUUUAUCUCUGACCUAGUUAUUCUGGUAGAGUGGGUGGUGGGGCCCAGUUGAGGGCUAGGUUAUAAUUAAAAAAUAUUUGGUCUUUGUCUCCAGUUCCUGGCUCAAAGCUCCCAAAUCCUUGGAACUUCUUGAGUGAUAAGAUAAGCCUUGGGGUGGGGGAAGAUGUUGGGGGAGACCUACACUAGAUAGCUUCAGGAUGGGACUGAGCGGAGAAAAACCAACCUAGUGAUUAAAGGACUAGACUUUCAGCUCUAUCCCUUGAUCUCCUCAGGGAGGGGAGAAGGGUGGAUUCUGAAUUCAGCUACCAAGGGCCAGUAAUAAUCAUGCCUAAGUCCUAAAAAACAAAUUCCAUGAGUUUCCAGGUUGGUGAACACAUUCAAGUGCUGGGAAAAUGGAACACUAGCAGAGAACUUGGAAGCUCUGUACCAAUCCCACUCCCACCUUCGUCCCCUAUAACUUGCUCUGUCAUCUGUAGGGGAGCAAAAUUUGCCACUACAAAAUAUCUCUUUGGCUUAUAGGUUAUUUUGAACUGAAAACUAUCAAGGCCCAAAAGACUCAGAAGAACCUUUGACCUUCCCCCUAGCUACCUAAGGAAUGUAGAUAGAGAACAAUUCCAGCAAGAGAAGUAUCGCCCUAGGUAACUAUAGUAUGAACUAGGUAUGAUUGAUAGGGAGGAAUCUAGCAAUGACUUCUUGUUAAAAUUCCUCUUUCUGGAGUUCCCGUCGUGGCGCAGUGGUUAACGAAUCCGACUAGGAACCAUGAGGUUGCGGGUUCGGUCCCUCCCCUUGCUCAGUGGGUUAACGAUCCGGUGUUGCCAUGAGCUGUGGUGUAGGUUGCAGACUCGGCUCGGAUCCAGCGUUGCUGUGGCUCUGGCGUAGGCUGGUGGCUACAGCUCCGAUUCGACCCCUAGCCUGGGAACCUCCAUAUGCCGAGGGAGCGGCCCAAGAAAUGGCGAAAAGACAAAAAAAAUAAAUAAAUAAAUAAAAAUAAUUAAAAAAAAAUUCCUCUUUCUGUCUCAUUGUCUUGGCAUGGCCCAGCAAACAUUUGUUUACUAACAAACAUUUGCUUUCCCAUCUCAUGUCAAUUGCCUUCCUCCCCUUUAAAGUGCCAAACCACUACCCCCAACAUCCUCUUUUGUCUUUGACCAAAGAUGGUAUUUAAGUGAGGGCUUCCGUCAUUUUGGUGAGUUACUCAGUUUCCCUGGGACUCUCCUAUGUAUACAUGUUAUUAAACUUUUGUUUGAUUUUCUCCUGUUAAUCUGUCUCAUUUCAAUUUAAUUCUUAGCUCAACCAGAAGAAUCUAGAAGUGUAGAGGAAAUUUUUUUCUUCUAUGACACUUCUCUUCUGUUUGGCUGAUCCUGAGUUAUAUCCUUUAUAAUGAAGUGGUAAACAUAAGUAAUGUAAUUUUGUGAGUUCUUUGAGUCAUUCUACAAUAUUACAAAAGCUGAGGAGAGCUCAUGGGAGUUCCCAAAUGUGUAGUCAGUCAGGCAGAAGAAUGGGUAGCCAAGGUAUCCCAUUUUCAGCUGAUCUGUGCUGAAAUGUGAGACUGAGCCCUUUAACUAAUGGGAUCUGACCCUACCUCUAGGUAUAUAGUGUCAGAAAUGAAUUGAAUUGUUGGGCAUCCAAUUAGUAUCAUAGUAUUGGUUGGUUAUGUGGAAAAACAACACACAGUGUCAGAAGUGGUAACAGAAAAAACCACUACACAGGUGCCUAACAUAUUCUGUCUCUCCCUGACCUCACCCAGCCCUUGUAUAACCACACUUCUUUAUAGAAUGUGGUUGAGCCCAGAAGAAACAGCCAAUUUCUCUACAAUUCUCUGACCUAAAUUCAGUGUUAACUUUUUGAGGAGGAAUAGCUGUGGAGCUAAAAUUUUUUCUCUUCAAGCCUACUCAAAAGGAGGGCAGAAUUUGCCUACAGGCUUCUGAUGCACUGCUCACCCAGAGGGCAGCCUCCGAGUCAGCAAGCAAAAGGCCUGCUCUACAAUAAGGUGAAAGCUCAUUUGCUGGAAUCAUUUAUGGACCAGCUGACUGCUUUGACUCUGGCUGGACCCCGCCUGAGCUAGUCACCUUUUGAGCCUAGUCAUCUAGUGUCUGCCAGACCCCUUCCAUCUAACUAGAUUCUCUUCCCCAUUCCUCUUGGCUAUUUAUCAGUGGUCAAGCCUUUCCUCCUGCCCCAAAGUUGCUGCAAUAAACUUAGUCAUUUCCACUAGCAUGUGCCCCAGGGGUCUAGGUAAAGUCUUCUCUGAUAAGCCUUCCUAUGCUGGCCUCACAUCUGAAGUUCCAGCUGUGGCUGCUGUCCUCAUGUUUGUUGUUAAAAUGCUAUCCCCUCCCUUCCAUGCCUCCUCACUCCUUCUUCCUAGAGAAACCACACAAGUUCAUCAAUUAGUAUGACUCAUCUUGGUAUACUUGCUGGAGUACCUGAAACCAUUGCAAAGAGGCCUCAUUCUUAAUCUUUCUUAAAAUAUGUGAUGAUAUUUGACAGAGAUUUCUUAUUCACUACAAAGUUAACCUGGUAAAUGAUUGUCUCACACAUCUUCAGGUAGAAAGACACAGUCAGUUUGGUAAGAGAUGGCACAAAAUCAAGGGACAUGAACUGGCCAAGUGCUUCUACUUUGAGCAGAGGCUCAAGUCUUCCAUGAAGGAGAAUCUUCCCCAGGACUAGAGAACUAUACUGUAGAGCUGCCAGUAACUAAUGGAGAGUACCUACCAGCUACAGGGUCAUCCCAGGGACCUCACCUGGGUACAACCUGGUAUAGUGCCCCAGGCAACUCCCAGUCACUAGGCCUAGCAAGUUCCUUACUGUAACUAUAAUGGAUCAACACUAACUCUUGGAAAUCCCUCCCUCCAAAUGUGGUUUAGUCUCCUCUUCCCUGACAGAAAUAGUCCCUGUCCUGGCCUGACUGAUUUGGUGGUCUCCAUAUCUGUUAUGGAAGCCGCUUAUGUGAGGGUUGGGGGGAAAUCCUGUGGGGCUUGGGCUCUUCCUCAGUUGACAAACCCAUUACUAUCAAAAUGAUUCCCACCCCACACCAUCCACCUUCUGGGCAUAAUAAUCUUCUCCAACUAGAGCUUGUCCAGACCUUGACACUUUGAUCCUUGGAGUCUCCAGCACCACACUCACAAGUGCACCAUCAUCUGGAGUAAAAUCCCUGUCUUCUUCCAGAUCCCUGCAAAUCAUAUGAGGCCUUUUAGUUCUCACUUUGGACAGUGCCUAUAGAGUAUUUGAUACCUGUAGUCCCAUCCCAGGUGUGUACUCAUAGAUAUCUGGCUGUGAUCAGUUCAUACCAAAGGCACAGGCUCAAAUUCUCAUUAUAUACAAAUGAUGGGAGGAACAAUGGCUAUUAGCAGCCCUCUCAGGACCCUGGAAAACAUAUAUUUAAAUGCCAUCAACUUUUAAGGAAUAGCGGCAGAGUGCUACUUAUUCUCCAAUGUCUUCUCCUUUAUACAACACUAAUAGACUCCCUAGAAUAAAGAUUAUAUAUUUUCCAUCCUACCCUGAAAUUUGAUAGGAUUAUGGGAUAUGAAGAGAAGUAAAGUAUAGAACUUUUAGGAUGUGUCCUUAAAGGGAGGGGGACUGCCCUUUCUGCAACAUUCCCUCUCCCUGACUCCUCUGCUCCACCAUACUCCUCUAGAUGUAGACGUGGUGACAUACCUCCUUGGCCAAGUGGCCACACCCUACAAGCAACAAGUUAGAGGGAGUCUAGGUCCCGGAAGACCACAUUGAGCAGAACAGCCAUCCUAACCUUGGACCACCUGUUGAGAUAAGCAAUGGUGUGAGCCUGAGCAUCCCUGAACAUCCCUUUUGGAUAUGCCAAGAAUGCAAGACCUUGACCGCUCUUUAGCCUACUGUUUCUGAGUUGACUUUGCAGUGGGCAGUUUGCAAGGGAUAAAAUAACAUUUUCUCCCAAAGAGCAGUCUUACUUACUACUCACUAUGAAAGUGGUAGAUUCCAGUUAAAAUACAAACUCAAUAUAGGUAGAGUAUCCACCUUAGUCCCUCCAUGUUGCCUCCAUAGGUCUUAAGGGGAAUGGGGAACUAGCAACAACAUAUCCAUGUUGCUUGCUGUGCAGUGAGUAAUACAAUCUUUUGUGCAGACUCUGGAAUCUUGUAUCUUUUGCCAGCAUCCAUGAAACAGUAAUUUAUUAGCUUGCAAGUAGAGUAAAACCACAGAAUUUCACAUACAAACCACUGGAUUGUUUUUAGGAAAGAAAUCAACUUGUAUCUCUAUUGAACCACUGUUACUUUGAAUCUUUGUUACAGUGAGCCGAAUCUAAUCCUAACUAAUGAAAGAGUAAUUUUUCAAAGUUCUGAUUUGAAAGAAAAAAAAUACUACAUAUUGUCAGAAAUUGAUCUUUCAAGCUGAGCAAGUUAUGAUCAAUUCAAAAGCAAGAAAUUAUAAAAGUGUUGGGACCUUUUGAACAAGUGGCAUUGAAUAUAGGAAUCAAGAGCACACUGUGGAGUUCCCUUCGUGGCUUAGCAGCUAACGAACCUGACUAGGAUCCAUGAAGAUUCAGGUACCAUCCCUGGCCUUGCUCAGUGUGUUAAGGAUCUGGUGUUUCUGUGAACUGUGGUGUAGGUCACAGACUCGGCUCGGAUCCUGUGUUGCUGUUGCUGUGGCAUAGGCCAGCAGCUGUAGCUCCAAUUCAACCCCUAGCCUGGAACCUCCCAAUGCCUCUGGUGUGGCCCUAAAAAGCAAAAAAAAAAAAAAAAAAAAAAA
Molecule: long non-coding RNA, 8766 nt
Filed under: Sus scrofa (pig)
Lineage: Eukaryota; Metazoa; Chordata; Mammalia; Artiodactyla; Suidae
Description: lncRNA (ENSSSCG00015018036.1)
Source: RNAcentral